CCAGACGGCUGGACGGCUGCCUCUUGCUAGGGCGAAAGCUGCAAGGGGAGGAAAGUCCGGGCUCCACGGAAACACGGUGCCGGGUAACCCCCGGCGGGCGCGAGCCUAGGGAAAGUGCCACAGAAAGCAAACCGCCCGGCUUCCGAGCCGGGUAAGGGUGAAAGGGUGCGGUAAGAGCGCACCGCGUCCUUGGCAACAAGGACGGCACGGUAAACCCCACCGGGAGCAAAACCGAAUAGGAAGGGCCGAUGGCUUCGGGCCAUGGAUGCGUUUCCGCAUCGUCCUUCGGGUAGGUUGCGCGAGGCAGGCGGCGACGCUUGUCCCAGAUGAAUGGCCGUCCAUCGGUGCGUCGCGAGGCGCCCGGGGACAGAACCCGGCUUACAGGCCGUCUGGUCCU
This 397-nucleotide RNase P RNA is filed under the name Magnetovibrio sp. RNAcentral describes it as "RNase P RNA component class A". It matches the Rfam family "Bacterial RNase P class A". Rfam says of the family: Ribonuclease P (RNase P) is a ubiquitous endoribonuclease, found in archaea, bacteria and eukarya as well as chloroplasts and mitochondria. Its best characterised activity is the generation of mature 5'-ends of tRNAs by cleaving the 5'-leader elements of precursor-tRNAs. The record is from RNAcentral. Lineage: Bacteria; Pseudomonadati; Pseudomonadota; Alphaproteobacteria; Rhodospirillales; Magnetovibrionaceae.